This 908-nucleotide ribosomal RNA is filed under the name Passalora sp. RNAcentral's name for it is "partial large subunit ribosomal RNA". It matches the Rfam family "Eukaryotic large subunit ribosomal RNA", at positions 32 to 971 of the family's 3401-position model. Lineage: Eukaryota; Fungi; Ascomycota; Dothideomycetes; Mycosphaerellales; Mycosphaerellaceae. The record is from RNAcentral.
AACUAAGCAUAUCAAUAAGCGGAGGAAAAGAAACCAACAGGGAUUGCCCUAGUAACGGCGAGUGAAGCGGCAACAGCUCAAAUUUGAAAUCUGGCGCAAGCCCGAGUUGUAAUUUGUAGAGGAUGCUUCUGGCCAGCGGCCGUUCUAAGUUCCUUGGAACAGGACGUCAUAGAGGGUGAGAAUCCCGUAUGUGACCGGCGCGCAGCCUUUACGUAGCUCCUUCGACGAGUCGAGUUGUUUGGGAAUGCAGCUCUAAAUGGGAGGUAAAUUUCUUCUAAAGCUAAAUACCGGCCAGAGACCGAUAGCGCACAAGUAGAGUGAUCGAAAGAUGAAAAGUACUUUGGAAAGAGAGUUAAAAAGCACGUGAAAUUGUUGAAAGGGAAGCGCUUGCAACCAGACUUCGUAGCGGUGUUCCGCCGGUCUUCUGACCGGUCUACUCACCGUCGCGAGGCCAACAUCGUCUGGGACCGCCGGAUAAGACCUAAGGAAUGUAGCUUCCCUCGGGAAGUGUUAUAGCCUGUGGUGAUGCGGCGCGUCUCGGGCGAGGUCCGCGCUUCGGCAAGGAUGUUGGCGUAAUGGUUGUCAGCGGCCCGUCUUGAAACACGGACCAAGGAGUCUAACAUCUAUGCGAGUGUUCGGGUGUCAAACCCCUACGCGUAAUGAAAGUGAACGGAGGUGGGAAGCGCAAGCUGCACCAUCGACCGAUCCUGAUGUCCUCGGAUGGAUUUGAGUAAGAGCAUAGCUGUUGGGACCCGAAAGAUGGUGAACUAUGCCUGAAUAGGGUGAAGCCAGAGGAAACUCUGGUGGAGGCUCGCAGCGGUUCUGACGUGCAAAUCGAUCGUCAAAUUUGGGUAUAGGGGCGAAAGACUAAUCGAACCAUCUAGUAGCUGGUUCCUGCCGAAGUUCCC